GACGAACGCUGGCGGCGUGCUUAACACAUGCAAGUCGAACGGAAAGGCCCUGCUUUUGUGGGGUGCUCGAGUGGCGAACGGGUGAGUAACACGUGAGUAGCCUGCCCUUGACUUUGAGAUAACUUCAGGAAACUGGGGCUAAUACCGGAUAGGAGCUCCUGCUGCAUGGUGGGGGUUGGAAAGUUUCGGCGGUUGGGGAUGGACUCGCGGCUUAUCAGCUUGUUGGUGGGGUAGUGGCUUACCAAGGCUUUGACGGGUAGCCGGCCUGAGAGGGUGACCGGCCACAUUGGGACUGAGAUACGGCCCAGACUCCUACGGGAGGCAGCAGUGGGGAAUAUUGCACAAUGGGCGGAAGCCUGAUGCAGCAACGCCGCGUGCGGGAUGACGGCCUUCGGGUUGUAAACCGCUUUCGCCUGUGACGAAGCGUGAGUGACGGUAAUGGGUAAAGAAGCACCGGCUAACUACGUG
RNAcentral lists this ribosomal RNA (468 nucleotides) under uncultured bacterium. RNAcentral describes it as "partial 16S ribosomal RNA". It matches the Rfam family "Bacterial small subunit ribosomal RNA", at positions 28 to 507 of the family's 1533-position model. The record is from RNAcentral.